CCAGACUCCUACGGGAGGCAGCAGUGGGGGAUAUUGCACAAUGGGGGGAACCCUGAUGCAGCGACGCCGCGUGGGUGAAGAAGCGCCUCGGCGCGUAAAGCCCUGUCAGCAGGGAAGAAAAUGACGGUACCUGAGUAAGAAGCCCCGGCUAACUACGUGCCAGCAGCCGCGGUAAUACGUAGGGGGCAAGCGUUAUCCGGAUUUACUGGGUGUAAAGGGAGCGUAGACGGCAGCGCAAGUCUGAAGUGAAAUUCCAUGGCUUAACCAUGGAACUGCUUUGGAAACUGUGCAGCUGGAGUGCAGGAGAGGUAAGCGGAAUUCCUAGUGUAGCGGUGAAAUGCGUAGAUAUUAGGAGGAACACCAGUGGCGAAGGCGGCUUACUGGACUGUAACUGACGUUGAGGCUCGAAAGCGUGGGGAGCAAACAGGAUUAGAUACCCCUGUA
Molecule: ribosomal RNA, 444 nt
Filed under: uncultured bacterium
Lineage: Bacteria
Description: bacterial SSU rRNA
Rfam family: Bacterial small subunit ribosomal RNA
Source: RNAcentral